UACGGAGGGUGCAAGCGUUGUCCGGAAUCACUGGGCGUAAAGGGCGCGUAGGCGGCUCAUGAAGGCUGUGGUGAAAGUCCGGGGCUCAACCUCGGAUCGGCCGUGGCGACUCGUGGGCUGGAGCACUGUAGAGGCGGGUGGAAUUCCGGGUGUAGCGGUGGAAUGCGUAGAGAUCCGGAAGAACACCAGUGGCGAAGGCGGCCCGCUGGGCAGUGGCUGACGCUGAGGCACGACAGCGUGGGGAGCAAACAGG
RNAcentral lists this ribosomal RNA (253 nucleotides) under uncultured bacterium. RNAcentral's name for it is "partial 16S ribosomal RNA". It matches the Rfam family "Bacterial small subunit ribosomal RNA", at positions 524 to 776 of the family's 1533-position model. The record is from RNAcentral.